This 401-nucleotide unclassified non-coding RNA is filed under the name soil metagenome. RNAcentral describes it as "partial contains 5.8S ribosomal RNA, internal transcribed spacer 2, and large subunit ribosomal RNA". The stretch from base 1 to 121 matches the Rfam family "5.8S ribosomal RNA", at positions 35 to 154 of the family's 154-position model. The record is from RNAcentral.
GAUGAAGAACGCAGCGAAAUGCGAUAAGUAAUGUGAAUUGCAGAAUUCAGUGAAUCAUCGAAUCUUUGAACGCACCUUGCGCCCCUUGGUUAUUCCAAAGGGCAUGCCUGUUUGAGUAUCAUGAACACCUCAACUCUUGUGGUUUCCCACAAUGAGCUUGGACUGUGGAGGUUUUGUUGGCCCUGUGGUCAGCUCCUCUCAAAUGGAUCAGCUUACCGGUGUUUGGUGGCAUUACGGGUGUGAUAACUAUCUACGCUCGUGGUCGUCUCCAAAUAACCUCCAGUGAUGGAGGUUCGCUGGAGCUUAUAAAUGUCACUCCCCAGUGAAGACAGCCUUUGAACGUUCGAUCUCAAAUCAGGUAGGACUACCCGCUGAACUUAAGCAUAUCAAUAAGCGGAGGA